GUUAAUUAUGUAUUAAAUAUAGUUGAGCAAGUAUAAAAUUUGUAAUUACUUAUCACAAAGUAAAUAAAAAAUAAAAAAAAAAUUAAUUAUGCCAUAUGAGUACUCAAGAUAUGCACACAUGGAAAUAUUACAAUAAUACAUAAGAGUACUGAAGUAAUAAUAGUUUGAUUUGUGGUGGUUGCACUAUCGUACGGCAAUCUUGUCGGCUUAUCGUCUUUAAAAUGUGUAAACCCAACACCCCUCCUAACAGAGCCGUAGUGUUUUAGUGUAUUGUUGUAUAAAUAUAUCUAGUCAUUACCGAGUAAUGGAUCAAAUAAGUUGUGCUGUAUUCUACUAUAAUAUUUUAAAAACGGCGUCAAAUUCAUUGAUUAUUUUCAAUUUGAUGGACAGACAUUUGAGUAAUUAUGUACUGAAGUCGAUCAAACUAAGCAGAAAAAACGACAAAUACAAAUAAUAGAAAAAGCAAAGACAAUGAGCAAACUGGCAACGUGGUAUUGACAAACUCAAACAACCGUUUUCAGUAGAUGGAAAAAAUAUUUUAAAAGCGGCGACAAAUUCAUUGAUUAUUAUCAAUUGGAUAGACAGACAUUUGCGAAAAUUAAUACUGGAUCGAGCCACAAGUAGUAUAAGCAAUAAAUUCAAAUAAAAGAUUAGUUCAUAAGCCAACUGGCAACGUGGUGUUCAUAAACAUUAUACACGUUUUUAACGCACUGUCCCUUUAGACUUCUCAAAACAACAUUGCCAGUUUGCUUUAAACUUAUACCGCGACCACGCAACGAGUGACCAUUGAAUAAGACUGGAUCAUUUUAUUUUACAAUUUGCCCGCCAUUUGCGUUCUCUUAUACAGUAUAUUAACUGUACAUUGUUCGACAGAUUAUUCGUCCUUUACCAACAUUAACAACUAUACUAAUGUCUGAUCAGCACUAGUGUUUAUACAGUUCAACUAUGAAUAUGCGGCGUGCGGGUGUAAACAAACCGUUUACACUCUUCUUGAAUUAAUCAAAAACGUAAAGAAAACAGUCGACAUUCUAUCACUCUUGCGACAACUCAACUCUAUUGUUCCGAUAACUCGUACAGUAUAAUCGUGAGUACUAAAAUAAAUACUAUUAUUGUUUUACUUAUUUUUAUUAUUAUUUUGGGUUGUGUACACUCGUCGCCGUCGCUCAUCUAACUUUGAUACCAUCAACAUCUCUAGAGAUCCAGUCAGGUAAUAUAUUAUUUUAGAUCAUAUAUUUGAAUAAUAGUCACAUGGAUCAAUGAGUAUUUAUUAAGAACUACUCGUCUUUUAAUUUUGAGAACACUAGAAGGGUCACAUCAAUAGUUUUAAAAACUAUUCGAAUAUAUUGUGUAACUAUCGAAUAUUUUUACUAUUCGAAUAUUUUUUGAAUGACUAUCGAAUAAUUCGAUAGUUUCUAUUCGAUAUUUCCCAUCACUAAUAAAUAGGUCUUUUAAAAAGCUUUGUCUAAUACAGCUUUUAAAAAACUGCCCAGAAUCACUCUAGCCUAGUCAACUUCUUGCGGUACAAACAAGGACACUCGACCAAAUUAGCUGAUAUAAUUAAAUAAAAUCUUGGCGUCUAUUUAAUAACACCCAACGAGACAUGUUGGAAUUCAUUGUAUGAUGCAGUGUUGUUGCUUAAUAAAUUAAAUAAAAAUAAUGAACUUAAAUUUAGAAUUAUUAUGAAUUAAUUGUCUAUUAUGAGGUUAAUACUAAAAUAAAAUAAAUGAUUUAUUGUUACUUUUUUGUAUAUGUAUAUAUUUGCAGAUUUAAUAAAUAUGACAUUGAAUUUUUGAAUCAAUAUCAAAAAAUAAUGGGACCUUGAUUUACUUUAAAUUAUGAUAUUAACUUAUGUUUUUGUAAACUUUUACCUACUUUUAAAGAGGUAAUUUAUAAAUUUGGGCCAAUGAUACAUGAUCACACAUUUCCUCAUUAUAUGCAAGGUCUGGUAACUCCUAUACUAAAUGGUUUGUAACAAUAACUAUAAAGCAAUAUAACUUUAUGAGAAUUUAUCUCAAUACAAUAUUUGUUGUUUAUGUUGUGCGAAAUAAUACACAAAAAUACACUAUCAGCUAAGUAAAUUUAUUAUCUUACCCAUUUAAUCAUUUUUAUUUUAUUUUAUUAGUACAGAAACGAGGUUUUCAGAUUCUUUGAUGAACACAUUUUUAAUUACUUCUACUGUCUGCAUUCCACAAUUGAAAACUGUCUGGAUUAAAAAUUAAAUUAUGACCAAAUUCAUGAUUUAUCUAACUUCUUUACCGGGACACAAAAUGUCCAUGAGGAAAAGUCAUCAGUUUGUGAUGAAAUUGACAGAAUAUUGGUUGAUUAUACAGCCAAAAUAUAAGAAUGUUUACAUAAUUUAUGCAUAAUUAAAAAAUUUUUCAUUAAAUACAACACUCCUUUACCAAUCAGUGCAUCAGUUGAGAGAGUUUUUAGUGUGGGUGGUGCUACAAUUACUAAUGUACAAUUAUUAGCACUUAGGUUUUAACUAAUAUAUUUUGUUACACAAGUUGAUUUUUUCUUACUAGAAUUUAUAAGUUAAAAAUUUUAUUAGAAUUCAGAUUUGUGUAAGAUCUAUAUUUGUUUUUAAAUAAUAUAUUUUUUUAAUUUGUUUAUAAAAUGCACUUAUUGGCACCAUUAUUGCGUAUUCGCAUUGCUGUCCGACUUUCUCGAAAUUUCUACUUGGAGCAGUGGAGUAUUUAGGAAUUUUCCAUGGGAGGGGUCCAAUUUUUUUUUUGGUGAUGACCUUCUUUUUUUGCUCACCAAAGACUAGUAUUUUAUUUUUGAUACCCAAAUAAUUAAAUUAAAUCAAAAAGCUUUAUAUUAUAUUCAAAGUAAGUACAAAUUGUAAGAUGAUUUACAAAGAAAAAUUAAAUCGGCGCUUUGUA
This is a long non-coding RNA of Daktulosphaira vitifoliae (grape phylloxera), 2885 nucleotides long. RefSeq lists it as uncharacterized. The record is from RefSeq and is a predicted model, not a curated record. The transcript has 8 exons. NCBI's taxonomy places the organism in Eukaryota, Metazoa, Arthropoda, Insecta, Hemiptera, Phylloxeridae.